GAUAAACGCUGGCGGCGUGCCUAAUACAUGCAAGUCGAACGAGAAUAGAAAGAAACUUGUUUCAAUUUAUUCUAGUGGCGAACGGGUGAGUAAUACAUAAGCAACCUGCCUAUAUGGACUGGGAUAACGUUUGGAAACGAACGCUAAUACCGGAUAGGUAAUCGGAAGGCAUCUUCUGAUUAUUAAAGGUUAGAAACACAAAUAGAUGGGCUUAUGGCGCAUUAGCUAGUUGGUGAGGUAACGGCUCACCAAGGCGAUGAUGCGUAGCCGACCUGAGAGGGUGAUCGGCCACAUUGGGACUGAGACACGGCCCAAACUCCUACGGGAGGCAGCAGUAGGGAAUUUUCGGCAAUGGGGGAAACCCUGACCGAGCAACGCCGCGUGAGUGAUGAAGGCCUUCGGGUUGUAAAGCGUACUGUUCGUAAAGGAAGAAAC
Molecule: ribosomal RNA, 435 nt
Filed under: uncultured bacterium
Lineage: Bacteria
Description: bacterial SSU rRNA
Rfam family: Bacterial small subunit ribosomal RNA
Source: RNAcentral